UACGUAGGUGGCAAGCGUUUUCCGGAAUUAUUGGGCGUAAAGCGCGCGCAGGUGGUUUCUUAAGUCUGAUGUGAAAGCCCACGGCUCAACCGUGGAGGGUCAUUGGAAACUGGGGAACUUGAGUGCAGAAGAGGAAAGUGGAAUUCCAAGUGUAGCGGUGAAAUGCGUAGAUAUUUGGAGGAACACCAGUGGCGAAGGCGACUUUCUGGUCUGUAACUGACACUGAGGCGCGAAAGCGUGGGGAGCAAACAGG
RNAcentral lists this ribosomal RNA (253 nucleotides) under uncultured bacterium. RNAcentral describes it as "partial 16S ribosomal RNA". It matches the Rfam family "Bacterial small subunit ribosomal RNA", at positions 524 to 776 of the family's 1533-position model. The record is from RNAcentral.